This is a long non-coding RNA of Hevea brasiliensis (rubber tree), 1979 nucleotides long. RefSeq lists it as uncharacterized. The record is from RefSeq and is a predicted model, not a curated record. NCBI's taxonomy places the organism in Eukaryota, Viridiplantae, Streptophyta, Magnoliopsida, Malpighiales, Euphorbiaceae. The transcript has 5 exons.
UUCCAGGCAGUUGGAAUAAUUGCAGCGAUGGGGGAAUCAGUUCGGGACCUGAAAGUUGGCACUCCUGCUGCGAUUAUGACAUUUGGGAGUUAUGCUGAAUUCACAGUGGAUGAUGUACACAAUUCAGGUUCCUGCAAAACAUAUCCUUCCUGUGCCAAGACCAGAUCCUGAAGUUGUUGCUAUGCUUACUUCUGGAUUAACAAGCAUCAAUUGCUCUAGAAAAGGCUAGACAGAUGGAAUCAGGCAAAGUAGUUCUUGUUACUGCUGCUGCAGGAGGGACUGGCCAAUUUGUUGUCCAGCUUGCAAAGUUAGCUGGCAAUAAGGUAGUUGCAACUUGUGGAGGCAAGGAAAAGGCAACACUAUUGAAAGAAUUGGGAGUUGAUCGAGUCAUAGAUUAUAAAGUUGAAAAUAUCAAAAUUGUAUGUGGCUUCGAAUUCAAACUUUUCAUCUUUCAUUUAGUUUUCUUUCCAUGUUAUAAUGUGUAAAAGGAGUGCCAGGUUGAGUUUCAAGUCAUGAGAAUUACUGGCUCAAAAAUUACCCAAUAAAUUCAUUUGAGAAUUUAGAUACCCAAAUUCCAGUGAUUUAAUUUAUAUAACAAUACUUUGCUCUUGGUUAGCUUUUACUUUCUGUUUGGAAUUGACUACUGUGGAAGCAGAAGCACACAUUUCUUGGACCUCUGUGCAAUUAUUGAAAAACCUUUAAGCACAAGUUUGAUUCCUUUAAGAUUUAUUCUCAAUAUUCUUAUAAUGCAAUACUAAGUAAUCUGUUUCUUACUUGUCUAUGUCACUUAAAUGAAUCUCGAACAAUGUUGUAGUGGAUUUCUAAAUUGUGUGAAGUAAAAGAUAUUCGGUAAAAUCAAACAUGUGAAAGGCCUCUAAUUUUAGUAGCGACUUACAUAAAGGACUGGGAUGUAAUUAUGCAUUUUCUUUGCUGUUCUUUCUACCUUUUUAAUAAUAUAUUGUAGAGUUUUAGGAAAUACUUAAGACCUUCUUUUCUAGUAGGUUCUAAAGAAGGAAUUUCCUAAAGGUGUUGACAUUAUCUAUGAAUCUGUUGGUGGUGAUUUGUUUGACCUGUGUCUGAAUGCUUUAGCAGUCCAUGGGCGACUUAUUGUGAUCGGAAUGAUUUCGCAGGUUGUUUUUUCUUCACAAACUUCCUAUAUGAUUGGCAUUUGUUUUUUUUUUUUAAUAUAAAAUUAUUUUCUUUUGUUACCCUUGCAAAGUUUAGGUUUUCUUUCAUCUUCAUAAGAUAAUUACCAUUUUGGCUUUUCUUUUGUGUGGAAAACUAACUUUUUAUGUAAUAUCAUUACUAUGAGAGUUGUUGGACUAAUAUAUCAAGUUAAAAUUUUAUGUGAAAAUGAAGGGGUCAACAAAAUGAUACAUACUCUUAUUCAAAAUUUAAUAAUGAAGAUAUGAUCAACUUGUGAUUAUUAUAAUGUAGCAUUUCACUACUUAUUUAGGUAUUUAUCUUCAAUCUAGGAAAGCUAAACUAAUAUCUUUUUGCAUCAAUGGGCCUUAUAAGUUACGAAUAUCUAACUAUUAUGAAUAGUAAAGUAUGUAUGAAUUUUCACUCUUGGGAUUAGUGUACUUGGCUCUGAUAUUCUUUUUUCAGUAUCAAGGAGAACAUGGAUGGAUGCCAUCAAAUUAUACUGGACUUUGUGAGAAGAUUUUAGCAAAAAGCCAAACUGUGAUAUAGAGAUUAGAGGAGCAGCAGAGUGAGCUGCUGAGGAUUGAGGAGCUACCUACUUUGAAGUUAUCGAGUAUAUUUUAUACCCUGAAUGUAAAAACUAUUUUGAUAUAUGUAAAUGUAUGUAACUGUAUGGACAUGUAAAAUUGGUUAUGAGCAGAUGUAUAAAGUUGUAUAGAGUUGUAUAAAGCUUGUAAUAAAUUUUGGUUUGAAUUUCUCUUAAUGUAAAUUUUUGUUAUGAUAUAUAUAAAUUGUUUUAUCUUUAAUGAAAUAUGAAUGGAAGUAUUUUAUUUUAA